CCUACGGGAGGCAGCAGUGGGGAAUAUUGGGCAAUGGGCGCAAGCCUGAUCCAGCAACGCCGCGUGAAGGAAGAAGGCUUUCGGGUUGUAAACUUCUUUUCUCAGGGACGAAGCAAGUGACGGUACCUGAGGAAUAAGCCACGGCUAACUACGUGCCAGCAGCCGCGGUAAUACGUAGGUGGCAAGCGUUAUACGGAUUUACUGGGUGUAAAGGGCGUGUAGGCGGGACUGCAAGUCAGAUGUGAAAACCACGGGCUCAACCUGUGGCCUGCAUUUAAAACUGUAGUUCUUGAGUACUGGGGAGGCAGACGGAAUUCCUAGUGUAGCGGUGAAAUGCGUAGAUAUUAGGAGGAACACCAGUGGCGAAGGCGGUCUGCUGGACAGCAACUGACGCUGAGGCGCGAAAGCGUGGGGAGCAAACAGGAUUAGAUACCCUUGUAGUC
RNAcentral lists this ribosomal RNA (443 nucleotides) under uncultured bacterium. Its description in RNAcentral is "partial 16S ribosomal RNA". It matches the Rfam family "Bacterial small subunit ribosomal RNA", at positions 338 to 795 of the family's 1533-position model. The record is from RNAcentral.